UGGAUGGAGGGUUUGAUCCUGGCUCAGGGUGAACGCUGGCGGCGUGCCUGACACAUGCAAGUCGUACGGGCGGACCCCCUUCGGGGGGCGAGCCAGUGGCGAACGGGUGAGUAACACGUGGGAACAUAUCCGCUGGUGGGGGAUAACUACCCGAAAGGGUAGCUAAUACCGCAUAAGCCCGAAAGGGGAAAGGUGCAACAGCAUCGCCAGUGGAGUGGCCCGCGGCCCAUCAGCUAGUUGGUGGGGUAAGAGCCCACCAAGGCGACGACGGGUAGCCGGCGUGAGAGCGCGACCGGCCACAAGGACACUGAGACACGGGUCCUACUCCUACGGGAGGCAGCAGUGCGGAAUAUUGGACAAUGGGCGAAAGCCUGAUCCAGCGACGCCGCGUGCGGGACGAAGGCCUUCGGGUCGUAAACCGCUGUGGUAAGGGACGAAUAGCCGGUGGAGUGGAAAGCCACCGGAGGAGACGGUACCUUACUAGGAAGCCCCGGCUAACUACGUGCCAGCAGCCGCGGUAAUACGUAGGGGGCGAGCGUUACCCGGAAUCACUGGGCGUAAAGGGAGCGUAGGCGGCCCAGCAAGUCGACUGUGAAAAACCGGAGCUCAACUUCGGUCCUGCGGUCGAAACUGCUGGGCUUGAGGACAGUAGAGGGAGACGGAACUGCCGGUGUAGGGGUAAAAUCCUUAGAUAUCGGCAGGAACGCCGGUGGCGAAGGCGGUCUCCUGGGCUGGACCUGACGCUGAGGCUCGAAAGCCAGGGGAGCGAACGGGAUUAGAUACCCCGGUAGUCCUGGCCCUAAACGAUGCUCACUAGGUGUGGGGUGCGUAGAGCACUCCGUGCUGAAGCAAACGCGAUAAGUGAGCCGCCUGGGGAGUACGCCCGCAAGGGUGAAACUCAAAGGAAUUGACGGGGGCCCGCACAAGCGGUGGAGCGUGUGGUUUAAUUCGAUGCUAAGCGAAGGACCUUACCAGGGCUUGACAUGCUGGUGGUACUGAACCGAAAGGGGAAGGACCCACCGUUAGGUGGGAGCCAGCACAGGUGGUGCACGGCCGUCGUCAGCUCGUGCCGUGAGGUGUUGGGUUAAGUCCCGCAACGAGCGCAACCCCUGCCCCUAGUUGCCAGCGGUUAGGCCGGGCACUCUAGGGGGACCGCCGCCGACGAGGCGGAGGAAGGGGGGGAUGACGUCAGGUAUCGUGCCCCUUAUGUCCUGGGCGACACACGCGCUACAAUGGGACGGACAGCGGGGAGCGAGGCAGCGAUGCUGAGCAAAUCCCUGAAACCGUUCCUCAGUUCGGAUUGCAGGCUGCAACCCGCCUGCAUGAAGCCGGAAUCGCUAGUAAUCGCGGAUCAGCCAUGCCGCGGUGAAUACGUUCCCGGGCCUUGUACACACCGCCCGUCAAGCCACCCGAGUUGGCAACACCUGAAGACGGGUGUCCCAACCGAAAGGAGGGAGCCCGUUUAAGGUGGGGCUGGCGAGGGGGGCUAAGUCGUAACAAGGUAGCCCUACCGGAAGGUGGGGCUGGAUCACCUCCUUUCUAAGGA
This 1546-nucleotide ribosomal RNA is filed under the name Kosmotoga olearia TBF 19.5.1. RNAcentral's name for it is "bacterial SSU rRNA". It matches the Rfam family "Bacterial small subunit ribosomal RNA". The record is from RNAcentral. Lineage: Bacteria; Thermotogati; Thermotogota; Thermotogae; Kosmotogales; Kosmotogaceae.